Molecule: ribosomal RNA, 165 nt
Filed under: uncultured bacterium
Lineage: Bacteria
Description: partial 16S rRNA
Rfam family: Bacterial small subunit ribosomal RNA
Source: RNAcentral
UAGGGAAUCUUCGGCAAUGGGGGCAACCCUGACCGAGCAACGCCGCGUGAGUGAAGAAGGUCUUCGGAUCGUAAAACUCUGUUGUUAGAGAAGAACGUGUGUGAGAGUGGAAAGUUCACACAGUGACGGUAACUUACCAGAAAGGGACGGCUAACUACGUGCUAG